AUCCCGGUAGCACAAACGGAUAGUGCGUUGGACUUCUUAUCCAAAGGUCGUGGAUUCGAAUCCCACCUGGGAUG
This 74-nucleotide transfer RNA is filed under the name Trichonephila clavata. It matches the Rfam family "tRNA". From Rfam's summary of the family: Transfer RNA (tRNA) molecules are approximately 80 nucleotides in length. Their secondary structure includes four short double-helical elements and three loops (D, anti-codon, and T loops). The record is from Rfam by way of RNAcentral. Lineage: Eukaryota; Metazoa; Arthropoda; Arachnida; Araneae; Nephilidae.